CACGUAGUUAGCCGUGGCUUCCUCGUCAGGUACCGUCAAGGUACCGCCCUGUUCGAACGGUACUUGUUCUUCCCUGACAACAGAGCUUUACGAUCCGAAGACCUUCUUCGCUCACGCGGCGUUGCUCCGUCAGACUUUCGUCCAUUGCGGAAGAUUCCCUACUGCUGCCUCCCGUAGGAGUCUGGGCCGCGUCUCAGUCCCAGUGUGGCCGGUCACCCUCUCAGGUCGGCUACGCAUCGUCGCCUUGGUGAGCCGUUACCUCACCAACUAGCUAAUGCGCCGCGGGCCCAUCCUGCAGUGACAGCUAAAAGCCGCCUUUCAACCGAAACCAUGCGGUUUUCGGUGUUAUCCGGUAUUAGCUCCGGUUUCCCGAAGUUAUCCCAGUCUGCAGGGCAGGUUACCCACGUGUUACUCACCCGUCCGCCGCUAACCUAAAGGAGCAAGCUCCCUUCGGUCCGCUCGACUUGCAUGUAUUAGGCACGCCGCCAGCGUCGUCUCGUGCGACGAGUCAACUACU
This 517-nucleotide ribosomal RNA is filed under the name uncultured Geobacillus sp. RNAcentral describes it as "partial 16S ribosomal RNA". Lineage: Bacteria; Bacillati; Bacillota; Bacilli; Caryophanales; Anoxybacillaceae. The record is from RNAcentral.